UUUAUUUUAAAAAUGUAUUAUAAAAAAACCUCCUCCCCCCCCCCCAUUACACAUACUGCCCCACAAACACUAUCCCCAUACACACACACUGCCCCCCUGUAAUGGGGCAGUGUGUGUAAUGGGGGGGGGGGGAGGCUUUUUAAUAAUAAUUAAUAAAAAAAAAUUAAAAAUUUAAUAAAAUAAAUAUGUCCCCCCUCCCUUCUUACCUUUAUUGAGCAGGAGGGGGGACAU
This is a non-coding RNA of Pelobates cultripes (western spadefoot toad), 231 nucleotides long. NCBI's taxonomy places the organism in Eukaryota, Metazoa, Chordata, Amphibia, Anura, Pelobatidae. The record is from the annotation of a GenBank genome assembly.